RNAcentral lists this ribosomal RNA (253 nucleotides) under uncultured bacterium. RNAcentral describes it as "partial 16S ribosomal RNA". It matches the Rfam family "Bacterial small subunit ribosomal RNA", at positions 524 to 776 of the family's 1533-position model. The record is from RNAcentral.
UACGGAGGGUGCAAGCGUUACUCGGAAUCACUGGGCGUAAAGCGUGCGUAGGUGGUGGUUUAAGUCCGUUGUGAAAGCCCUGGGCUCAACCUGGGAACUGCAGUGGAUACUGGAUCACUAGAGUGUGGCAGAGGGUAGUGGAAUUCCCGGUGUAGCAGUGAAAUGCGUAGAGAUCGGGAGGAACAUCAGUGGCGAAGGCGACUGCCUGGGCCAACACUGACACUGAGGCACGAAAGCGUGGGGAGCAAACAGG